Molecule: non-coding RNA, 18 nt
Filed under: Mus musculus (house mouse)
Lineage: Eukaryota; Metazoa; Chordata; Mammalia; Rodentia; Muridae
Source: RNAcentral
UGACCUCAAACCAUCCUC